GACGAGCGCUGGCGGCGUGCUUAACACAUGCAAGUCGAACGGGCACUUCGGUGCUAGUGGCGAACGGGUGAGUAAAGCGCAGGUAAUCUGCCGCAAAGUCGGGGACAACGUUCCGAAAGGGACGCUAAUACCGGAUGUUGUGCAUUUGUCGCAUGACAGUUGCACCAAAGAUUUAUCGCUUUGCGAGGAGCCUGCGUCCGAUUAGCUGGUUGGUGGGGUAAAAGCCUACCAAGGCGACGAUCGGUAGCCGGUCUGAGAGGAUGAACGGCCACAAUGGAACUGAGACACGGUCCAUACUCC
Molecule: ribosomal RNA, 300 nt
Filed under: uncultured Veillonellaceae bacterium
Lineage: Bacteria; Bacillati; Bacillota; Negativicutes; Veillonellales; Veillonellaceae
Description: bacterial SSU rRNA
Rfam family: Bacterial small subunit ribosomal RNA
Source: RNAcentral